GCUGCUGAAGCAUCAGAUGAAGAUGUUGAGGCCUACAUCGGCAAAGCCACCGGUGGUGUGCUGAUUUAUCUAUUACUUUUCUUAAACAACAUAUAUAGAAAUUGUCCCACUCCUGUUUACUACACAAAGAUGUUAAGUGUAUUGCAACACAAUAAAUGUUUUUAUGACUAAGUUUUUAAUCCAAAAUAUUCCGAGUUUAGUUAUGUAUUGGUUAUUAUUACUCCAGUCCAAUCAUGGUUAUUACCUGUUUAUAUAUCUGCCAGGAUAUUUACUCCUUUGGUGAACGCAGAGAUGAAUUGAGACAAUAAUGGAAUGGUGACCUUCAAGGAAUUCCUUUUUGCUUUUACUCAACCGAAGAUUAGGCGUUCUGAAUCGAUCGAGCCAGCCCCUCAGGAGGCCUCCAGCAGCUCCCUCCUGUCGUGCCUCGGAAGUAGUAGCUCAUGUUCUAUAUGUGGCGAGCUGAUGGUAGAAAUUACCAGGUUCAUUCUCUUCUGUGAUAUGUGAAGCUCGAGUGAAAAGAAAAAUUAUGUGAUGAGAACAUAGCAGCUGAAGUUGGAAUAUAUUGAGAUGUCUAUAAUGUGGUGUGGUGUGACCCAUGAUUGACAGAUUAAGAAGAUUUGGUGGGCUUGGCUUGAUGACAGGCGACAGCAUUGUUUUUUUUGGAUGAGUCGGGCGAUGGAAGUUGGUCAGCAUGCACCAGAGGUUGAGGCUGCUGAAGCAUCAGAUGAAGA
Zea mays is the source of this 731-nucleotide long non-coding RNA. RefSeq lists it as uncharacterized. The transcript has 3 exons. The record is from RefSeq and is a predicted model, not a curated record. NCBI's taxonomy places the organism in Eukaryota, Viridiplantae, Streptophyta, Magnoliopsida, Poales, Poaceae.